Molecule: long non-coding RNA, 1331 nt
Organism: Triticum aestivum (bread wheat)
Lineage: Eukaryota; Viridiplantae; Streptophyta; Magnoliopsida; Poales; Poaceae
Exons: 2
Source: RefSeq, a predicted model, not a curated record
GAUCUGAAAACAAAAGGAGUCAACGCACCUACCCCUCUCCUCGCACGUUCUGUUCGUGCCCGAUCCCCUCCUUCCCACCUUCUUCCUCCUGCACAGCCUCCUCCCACCUCCCCUCCACCUUCCACUGCCGGUGACGCCAGGGGCUCGUGCCUCCGAUGCCAGAGCCGUACUGCUGUCCGUCUAUCUCUUCUGCCCUGCCAACCCACCACGGAGCGAGAUGCGCGCGGCUCCCUCGUGCCCGGCGACCUUCCCCCGCCAGCCCUGCCCUCCCCCGAUCCACUUACUUUCCCCGUCGGCGCCGCCCUCCCCCAAUCCACCUUCUUCCCUCGCCGGUGCCGCCCUCCCCCGAUCCAUCUAUUUCCCCUUCCCCAGGCAUCGACGAACUUUCCCUCGCCUCAAUCUGCAGCGAUGCAGACGAUUGGUAGUAGGGAACGCCGUCCUUCCCCUCUCCUUGGAUUUUCGGGGCGCCAAGACCCAGCGUGAUCUCCGCGGUGCGUGGCACAACCACUGUCUACCGGCGGCGACAUGUCCCCCGAGCUCCCCCUGCCUCCCUGCGGUCAUCCACUUCCUGUCGGGAUCACCGCCUCUUGAUGCCGGCCAGGGCGAGGAGUUGUCCCGGAGUGGUGGCCACCAAGGCUUCGCCUCCUCUGGAUCCGGCGGCCAUGGCCUCCGCCGUCUCAUCUGCUGCUUCCCGUGGCUGUAGCUCAUGAACAAGACGACGACUGUGGUGGCGAUGCCUCCCGCCCCAAGGAGGAGCAGGGCAGCAGUGUGGGGGCGAAGGAUGGCGGCAGGAAGGGCGGGCCCAAAUGCAGGGUGAUGCUGCCCUGCAUUGUCGCCGCCGGUGUGCAGUUUAGCUUGGCGCUGCAACUCUCCCUCCUCACCCAUGCAGUCACUUCGUCCACAUUACAGGUGGUUCAACGGGUGACCUGCAGUUCACCCAGCGGCCACCACGAGCCCCCGACGUCCUACAUGCUGUAGUUUUGGGUUGAUGUUGAAUUGAUCGAUGCUGAAGGCCCCGUGCAGUCUGGUGUGGCGUAAGCAUGCAGUACGGGCGGUGGCGAUGUAGCUCCUGUAGUUCAUGUAUGCGGCGUGUGCGGUUUGUUUGCAGCCCAUGUGCACGAUACAUGCAGGUUGUGUGUGUGUGUGUGUCGAUGUUCUGUUCGCUGGGAAACUACAGAAGAAAAAUGAUCAAUUUUUUAAGUUCACUUUCUUCUUGAAUGUGUGAGAGAAAAUGUAAAAAUUUAUUUGUGUGAGAGAGAAAUGUCUCUCGCGCGGUUCGUGUGUGAAGUUUUGUAUGUAUUCUUUUAUUUGUAGAAAAGGUGUCUGGUUCA